This 254-nucleotide ribosomal RNA is filed under the name uncultured bacterium. RNAcentral's name for it is "partial 16S ribosomal RNA". It matches the Rfam family "Bacterial small subunit ribosomal RNA", at positions 15 to 252 of the family's 1533-position model. The record is from RNAcentral.
GAUCAUGGCUCAGGACGAACGCUGGCGGCGUGCUUAACACAUGCAAGUCGAACGUGAUUUUUAUGGAAGAACCUUCGGGGACGGAAAUAAAAUGAAAGUGGCGAACGGGUGAGUAACACGUGAGCAACCUACCUUACACAGGGGGAUAGCCGUUGGAAACGACGAUUAAUACCGCAUGAGACCACAAUACUGCAUGGUAAAGGGGUCAAAGAUUUAUCGGUGUAAGAUGGGCUCGCGUCUGAUUAGCUAGUUGG